Molecule: long non-coding RNA, 470 nt
Organism: Daphnia magna
Lineage: Eukaryota; Metazoa; Arthropoda; Branchiopoda; Diplostraca; Daphniidae
Exons: 2
Source: RefSeq, a predicted model, not a curated record
GUCAGGGUGAAUCAGUCGAGACUGGAAGAGAUUCAGACUCGGAUUCAGAAACCGAGGUCGUUUUGAGAACUGCAAGUCCAGUUGUUCCAGUCAGUGGACAACAAUUUAUAGUGCCAUCAGGGCAUAUUGUGCAGCCACAAAGACAAGCUAUGGCAGCUGUCAGAAAAUUUAUUAGCCCGCCUAUCUUUCGAGUUAGUCCGGAUGAAGAUGCGUGCCAAUGGAUGGAGCAUUACGAGACAAUUUACUCCCAUAAUGGAUGGGGUGACGCCGAAAAACGUAAUAAAAUUUAUUAGCCCGCCUAUCUUUCGAGUUAGUCCGGAUGAAGAUGCGUGCCAACGGAUGGAGCAUUACGAGACAAUUUACUCCCAUAAUGGAUGGGGUGACGCCGAAAAACGCUCCCGAACGAGUAAAUGGUAAAUCUUAAACGACCGGAAGAUAUGCGAUUGCAGCGCCUCUUCCGUGGCCGAAGG